Molecule: ribosomal RNA, 253 nt
Filed under: uncultured Rikenellaceae bacterium
Lineage: Bacteria; Pseudomonadati; Bacteroidota; Bacteroidia; Bacteroidales; Rikenellaceae
Description: partial 16S ribosomal RNA
Rfam family: Bacterial small subunit ribosomal RNA
Source: RNAcentral
UACGGAGGAUCCGAGCGUUAUCCGGAUUUAUUGGGUUUAAAGGGUGCGUAGGCGGUUUGAUAAGUUAGAGGUGAAAUGUCGGGGCUCAACCCCGAAACUGCCUCUAAUACUGUUCGGCUAGAGAGUAGUUGCGGUAGGCGGAAUGUACGGUGUAGCGGUGAAAUGCUUAGAGAUCAUACAGAACACCGAUUGCGAAGGCAGCUUACCAAGCUACUUCUGACGUUGAGGCACGAAAGCGUGGGUAUCGAACAGG